Molecule: transfer RNA, 71 nt
Filed under: Loxodonta africana (African savanna elephant)
Lineage: Eukaryota; Metazoa; Chordata; Mammalia; Proboscidea; Elephantidae
Rfam family: tRNA
About the family: Transfer RNA (tRNA) molecules are approximately 80 nucleotides in length. Their secondary structure includes four short double-helical elements and three loops (D, anti-codon, and T loops).
Source: Rfam by way of RNAcentral
GCAGUGGUGGUUCAGGGGUAGAAUUCUUGACUUCUGUGCAAGAGAUCCAAGUUCAAUUCCCUGCCAACGCA